GGGCCCUUAGCUCAGUCGGUAGAGCAAUUCCCUUUUAAGGAAUGGGUCGCAAGUUCGAAUCUUGCAGGGCUCACCA
This 76-nucleotide transfer RNA is filed under the name Candidatus Pelagibacter sp. IMCC9063. RNAcentral describes it as "tRNA-Lys (TTT) (tRNA-Lys-TTT-1-1)". It matches the Rfam family "tRNA". Rfam says of the family: Transfer RNA (tRNA) molecules are approximately 80 nucleotides in length. Their secondary structure includes four short double-helical elements and three loops (D, anti-codon, and T loops). The record is from RNAcentral. RNAcentral also lists the same sequence under 3 other names. Lineage: Bacteria; Pseudomonadati; Pseudomonadota; Alphaproteobacteria; Candidatus Pelagibacterales; Candidatus Pelagibacteraceae.